RNAcentral lists this non-coding RNA (25 nucleotides) under Rattus norvegicus (Norway rat). Lineage: Eukaryota; Metazoa; Chordata; Mammalia; Rodentia; Muridae. The record is from RNAcentral.
GGCAAAGCCAAGAUGGUCUGCAAUU